AACUUUGGUACCUGGUAUAUAUCUA
Molecule: unclassified non-coding RNA, 25 nt
Filed under: Mus musculus (house mouse)
Lineage: Eukaryota; Metazoa; Chordata; Mammalia; Rodentia; Muridae
Description: oocyte_clustered_small_RNA7512
Source: RNAcentral